GCCCAAUGAUGAGAUUAUGGCAAGUUUGAUGAUCCAGACAGACCAAGAGAGUGUGGUCUCGAGCCUGCUGUUAGAUGGGUAAUCUUGGUAGUGUGGUGGAGUUAUAUUGCAUUGCUGUAAGGGCCCAUCCACAGUUAACAUGUCACCUUCUGUAACCUCUGCCCCCCUCCGAGAGCAAUGGGACGGGACAGAUAGAAGAUGUCAAACAAUGUGCGGAUGUUUGUGUGUGUUUAGUAUGAAUGUAUAUGUAUCAGCUGGCAAGAGGCUACAGUCUCAUUAUUGGUUUGGCGGGUAUGAAGUACUCUUUGGUAAUCUGAGGGCA
Morone saxatilis (striped sea-bass) is the source of this 322-nucleotide small nucleolar RNA. NCBI's taxonomy places the organism in Eukaryota, Metazoa, Chordata, Actinopteri, Moronidae. The record is from RefSeq and is a predicted model, not a curated record.